Molecule: long non-coding RNA, 915 nt
Organism: Fukomys damarensis (Damara mole-rat)
Lineage: Eukaryota; Metazoa; Chordata; Mammalia; Rodentia; Bathyergidae
Exons: 3
Source: RefSeq, a predicted model, not a curated record
AUUAGGACCUUGCGCCUGCGAUGGAGGCAGCAGCACCACUGAGCUACAUCUCCAGCAGAUGAAAAUUUAGGAUGAGAAGAUAAAUCACCCACAAAUUACUGAAGACUUUAAGAGGCCAAUAGCUUUCUUCUAAGAUCUGUCAGUGAUUUUCAGAAUCCUUACAUGCACAAGUUCCCGAGUACAGCUUGGUGUCUCCUCCUGUGUUGUUAGCCAGUUUUCCAUUGCUACGACCAAUAUGCAAGAUAAACAAGUUAAAGGCAGAAAGAUUUAUUUUAGUUUUUCGUUUCAGAGGUGUCAGUCCACGGUUUACUGGCUCCAUUGCCUGUGACCCUGCCUGGGGCUUCUCCUUGACUGUGGGAAGAUGGAAACCUUGAGGCGGAAAGAUGUGGGGCAGGAAACCUGCUUACCUCCUGUUAGCCGGGAUGCAGAGAAGACUGCCCAGUGAAAGACUCUGAGAUGAAGCUUCAUUAGCUUGGCGGAUGUUUCUGCUCUUACCAGAUAAUUCAGUUCUGGAAACCGGAAAGUCUAAGAUCAAGACACCAGAAGAUGCGCAUCUAGAGAAGCCCUGUCCCUGAUUAUGGUGCCUCUGGCUGUUUCCUCGCAUGGUGGAGGGGGUGAAGCUCCCUCAGGCCACUUUUAUAAGAGCACAAUCCUACUGGGCAUGUGGUAAACAUUUGUAAUCCCACCACUCUUGGAGACUGAGGCACGAAGAUUAAGGGUUCAAGCCCAGCCUGGGCAGCUUAGCUCAUUGUGGAGACCCUGAGUUCAAUACCCAGUACACAGGGUGGGAGCACUAACCCCAUUCAUGAGUGUGGAGCCCUCGUGACCUAACCACCUCCCAAAAUCUACUUCUUAAUACUAUCACCUUGGGCCAAAGGUUUCAACAUAUGACAUUUAGGGGAUACAAACAUUACC